AAAAAAUUAGUUAACCCAAAAAAUAACAUUAGAUUGUCAAACUAAAAUCGUCAUAAUAGACAUUUUUUA
RNAcentral lists this transfer RNA (69 nucleotides) under Psathyromyia aragaoi. Its description in RNAcentral is "tRNA-Asp". Lineage: Eukaryota; Metazoa; Arthropoda; Insecta; Diptera; Psychodidae. The record is from RNAcentral.